This 656-nucleotide ribosomal RNA is filed under the name Asterodiaspis quercicola. RNAcentral's name for it is "eukaryotic LSU rRNA". It matches the Rfam family "Eukaryotic large subunit ribosomal RNA", at positions 465 to 893 of the family's 3401-position model. Lineage: Eukaryota; Metazoa; Arthropoda; Insecta; Hemiptera; Asterolecaniidae. The record is from RNAcentral.
AGAUUGACGCGCGUAGUACCAUGCGACUACGCGUUGUCGAUCUGAUAUUUCUGCCGUCAAUCGGAAACGAUGCGGACGUCGCAACCCGUUCGACGUUGGUCGAGGAGCUAUGUAAGAGUUCGUUGUGCGGCGGUGGGUUCGCCCAUCGUGUGCGGCGAAUUACGUGGUCUUUUUCUGGCCAACAUCGUCGGACGGUAGAAAAGGUGCGGUUAUUGGUGUCGUCUAGCACGACAUCCAACGCCGGUUAGCGACGAAUCUUCGGGCCUCUUUCCGACCCGUCUUGAAACACGGACCAAGGAGUCUAACGUGCGCGCGAGUCGCGGGGUAUCGAGUCGCGUGAAUUUAAAUCGGCGGCUCGUUACAUUACGAAACCCGUGUGUAUGUGAAUGCAAGGCGCAAUGAAAGUGAAAUUUGGGAAGAUGGCGUUCGAGCUCACGUAUCUCGGUCGUCAUGUACCGAGGCCGAACGUCCGCACUCCCAGGGCGUCCUAUCGGCACGUUUCGGAUGCGGAUAGUCGUUUCGCGACGGCUGUCGGUCUUUAACGAGUCGGGGCGCACCUAUAGCGUGCACGUUGGUACCCGAAAGAUGGUGAACUAUGCCUGGCCAGGAUGAAGUCAGGGGAAACCCUGAUGGAGGUCCGUAGCGAUUCUGACGUG